RNAcentral lists this long non-coding RNA (1325 nucleotides) under Homo sapiens (human). RNAcentral's name for it is "non-protein coding lnc-SFPQ-1:5". Lineage: Eukaryota; Metazoa; Chordata; Mammalia; Primates; Hominidae. The record is from RNAcentral.
ACUAUCACUCUGUCUCACAAAAAGACUCAAAAAGUAAAAAUAAAAGAACUCCCACUGAUUAGUGAAAAUUCUCAAAGGGGGAGAUAAGGAAGGAGACCACUACUACUCCUGCUGCCCUCCUCUCCCCACCUUGCCUAGUUCGCAAGACAGGAGGAGAGAAAAACAAAAAGUUGGAAAAAAAACAAAAGUAAGAUAAACAGCCAGACAACCUUGGCACCACCACCCGGCCUUAGGAGUUAAAAAAAGUAAUAAUGAUAACCUCAACCCCUGACCUAAACUACUUGUGUUGUCUGUAAAUUUCAGACACUGUAUGAAAAAAAGCAUUGUAAAACUUUUUGUUCUGUUAGCUGAUGCAUAUAGCCCCCAGUCAUGUUUCCCAUGCUUGCUUGAUGUACCACGACCCUUACACGUGGACCCCUUAAAGUUGUAAACCUUUAAAAAGGCCAAGAAUUUCUUUUUCGGGGAGCUCGGCUCUUAAGACACGAGUCUGACAAUGCUCCUGGCCGAAUAAAAACCUCUUCCUUCUUUAAUUCAGUGUCUGAGGAGUUUUGUCUGUGGCUCGUCCUGCUACAAUAAAAGGUUAAAAAGAGUCUAUAAAAUCUUACCUUAUGGUCAAACAUUAAAAAUUAGAUAAAUAUGUCUACAAGGUUUUAUUAAAAUUAAGUUUAACAUUAAUAACACACUAAUAUAAAAAUAAAAUUUAGCUUAUCUGGUAUAAAAAUCACACGAGAAGCACUGUUAAGUGUAAAAUGGUAUUUGGCUUUCUUUGGUUUAAAAAGUAAUAAACAUUUUUCUCAGUAAAAAGGCACUAAGGAAUAUAAAGUCCACUGCCAAGGUCCCCACAUUUAAAACAAAGGUCAAUUUCUUUCUUUUUUUUUUUUUUUUUUUUGAGACAGAGUUUCACUCUUGUUGCCCAGGCUGGAGUGCAAUGGCGCAAUCUUGGCUUACGGCAACCUCCGCCUCCCGGGUUCAAGCAAUUCUCCUGCCUCAGCCUCCUGAGUAGCUGAGAUUACAGACAUGCACCACUAUGCCCAGCUAACUUUGUAUGUUUAGUAGAGAUGGGGUUUCUCCAUGUUGGUCAGGCUGGUCUCGAACUCCUGACCUCAGGUGAUCUGCCCACCUCAGCCUCCCAAAGUGCUGGGAUUACAGGCGUGAGCCACUGCGCCCGGCCCCAAAAGGUCAAUUUCUUAAAAAUUAUAUACUUCAUUUAUCUUCCACUUUCCUUUCUCUCAAAAACUAAAAGUCUUUUAGCACAUGUACCACUCCUAGAAUUUCCGGUAAACCAGCACCAGCCUGAAGAUCACAUUCUCAUCAAAGGGUGGAAA